GACGAACGCUGGCGGCGUGCCUAAUACAUGCAAGUCGAACGAACCGCGACUAGGUGCUUGCACUUGGUCAAGGUGAGUGGCGAACGGGUGAGUAACACGUGGGUAACCUACCUCAUAGUGGGGGAUAACAGUCGGAAACGACUGCUAAUACCGCAUAGGACAUAGGAUCACAUGAUCCAGUGAGGAAAGGUGGCGCAAGCUAUCCCUAAGAGAUGGACCCGCGGUGCAUUAGCUAGUUGGUAGGGUAAAGGCCUACCAAGGCGAUGAUGCAUAGCCGACCUGAGAGGGUGAUCGGCCGCAUUGGGACUGAGACACGGCCCAAACUCCUACGGGAGGCAGCAGUGGGGAAUCUUCCGCAAUGGACGCAAGUCUGACGGAGCAACGCCGCGUGAGUGAAGAAGGUCUUCGGAUCGUAAAGCUCUGUUGUUAGAGAAGAACAGCGCAUAGAGUAACUGUUAUGCGUGUGACGGUAUCUAACCAGAAAGCCACGGCUAACUACGUG
This 502-nucleotide ribosomal RNA is filed under the name uncultured bacterium. RNAcentral's name for it is "partial 16S ribosomal RNA". It matches the Rfam family "Bacterial small subunit ribosomal RNA", at positions 28 to 507 of the family's 1533-position model. The record is from RNAcentral.